CGGGACACGUGGUAUCCUGUCUGAAUAUGGGGGGACCAUCCUCCAAGGCUAAAUACUCCUGACUGACCGAUAGUGAACCAGUACCGUGAGGGAAAGGCGAAAAGAACCCCGGCGAGGGGAGUGAAAAAGAACCUGAAACCGUGUACGUACAAGCAGUGGGAGCACGCUUCGGCGUGUGACUGCGUACCUUUUGUAUAAUGGGUCAGCGACUUAUAUUCUGUAGCAAGGUUAACCGAAUAGGGGAGCCGAAGGGAAACCGAGUCUUAACUGGGCGUUAAGUUGCAGGGUAUAGACCCGAAACCCGGUGAUCUAGCCAUGGGCAGGUUGAAGGUUGGGUAACACUAACUGGAGGACCGAACCGACUAAUGUUGAAAAAUUAGCGGAUGACUUGUGGCUGGGGGUGAAAGGCCAAUCAAACCGGGAGAUAGCUGGUUCUCCCCGAAAGCUAUUUAGGUAGCGCCUCGUGAAUUCAUCUCCGGGGGUAGAGCACUGUUUCGGCAAGGGGGUCAUCCCGACUUACCAACCCGAUGCAAACUGCGAAUACCGGAGAAUGUUAUCACGGGAGACACACGGCGGGUGCUAACGUCCGUCGUGAAGAGGGAAACAACCCAGACCGCCAGCUAAGGUCCCAAAGUCAUGGUUAAGUGGGAAACGAUGUGGGAAGGCCCAGACAGCCAGGAUGUUGGCUUAGAAGCAGCCAUCAUUUAAAGAAAGCGUAAUAGCUCACUGGUCGAGUCGGCCUGCGCGGAAGAUGUAACGGGGCUAAACCAUGCACCGAAGCUGCGGCAGCGACACUAUGUGUUGUUGGGUAGGGGAGCGUUCUGUAAGCCUGUGAAGGUGUACUGUGAGGUAUGCUGGAGGUAUCAGAAGUGCGAAUGCUGACAUAAGUAACGAUAAAGCGGGUGAAAAGCCCGCUCGCCGGAAGACCAAGGGUUCCUGUCCAACGUUAAUCGGGGCAGGGUGAGUCGACCCCUAAGGCGAGGCCGAAAGGCGUAGUCGAUGGGAAACAGGUUAAUAUUCCUGUACUUGGUGUUACUGCGAAGGGGGGACGGAGAAGGCUAUGUUGGCCGGGCGACGGUUGUCCCGGUUUAAGCGUGUAGGCUGGUUUUCCAGGCAAAUCCGGAAAAUCAAGGCUGAGGCGUGAUGACGAGGCACUACGGUGCUGAAGCAACAAAUGCCCUGCUUCCAGGAAAAGCCUCUAAGCAUCAGGUAACAUCAAAUCGUACCCCAAACCGACACAGGUGGUCAGGUAGAGAAUACCAAGGCGCUUGAGAGAACUCGGGUGAAGGAACUAGGCAAAAUGGUGCCGUAACUUCGGGAGAAGGCACGCUGAUAUGUAGGUGAAGUCCCUCGCGGAUGGAGCUGAAAUCAGUCGAAGAUACCAGCUGGCUGCAACUGUUUAUUAAAAACACAGCACUGUGCAAACACGAAAGUGGACGUAUACGGUGUGACGCCUGCCCGGUGCCGGAAGGUUAAUUGAUGGGGUUAGCGGUAACGCGAA
This 1501-nucleotide ribosomal RNA is filed under the name Escherichia coli. RNAcentral's name for it is "partial 23S ribosomal RNA". It matches the Rfam family "Bacterial large subunit ribosomal RNA", at positions 418 to 1903 of the family's 2925-position model. Lineage: Bacteria; Pseudomonadati; Pseudomonadota; Gammaproteobacteria; Enterobacterales; Enterobacteriaceae. The record is from RNAcentral.